Molecule: ribosomal RNA, 518 nt
Filed under: Pseudomonas sp. Hugh648
Lineage: Bacteria; Pseudomonadati; Pseudomonadota; Gammaproteobacteria; Pseudomonadales; Pseudomonadaceae
Also listed under: 1 other name
Description: bacterial SSU rRNA
Rfam family: Bacterial small subunit ribosomal RNA
Source: RNAcentral
AGAGUUUGAUCCUGGCUCAGAUUGAACGCUGGCGGCAGGCCUAACACAUGCAAGUCGAGCGGAUGAAGGGAGCUUGCUCCCUGAUUUAGCGGCGGACGGGUGAGUAAUGCCUAGGAAUCUGCCUGGUAGUGGGGGAUAACGUUCCGAAAGGAACGCUAAUACCGCAUACGUCCUACGGGAGAAAGCAGGGGACCUUCGGGCCUUGCGCUAUCAGAUGAGCCUAGGUCGGAUUAGCUAGUUGGUGAGGUAAUGGCUCACCAAGGCGACGAUCCGUAACUGGUCUGAGAGGAUGAUCAGUCACACUGGAACUGAGACACGGUCCAGACUCCUACGGGAGGCAGCAGUGGGGAAUAUUGGACAAUGGGCGAAAGCCUGAUCCAGCCAUGCCGCGUGUGUGAAGAAGGUCUUCGGAUUGUAAAGCACUUUAAGUUGGGAGGAAGGGCAUUAACCUAAUACGUUAGUGUUUUGACGUUACCGACAGAAUAAGCACCGGCUAACUUCGUGCCAGCAGCCGCGGU